AGUCGUGAAGACGACGUAUAGGGAGUGACACGUGACCAAUGCGGAAAGAUUAAGGUGACUUGUUAGCACUUGAUGCGAAGCUCGGAGCCCAAGUCCCCGUGAAUGUCGGCCGUAACUAUAACGGUCCUAAGGUAGCGAAAUUCCUUGUCGGGUAAGUUCCGACCUGCACGAAUCGUGCAACGACCGGUCCGCUGUCUCGGAGAGAAUCUCGGCGAAGUUGUAAUUGCGGUGAAGAUGCCGCAUACCCGCAGUAGGACGGAAAGACCCUGUGCACCUUUACUGUAAGCAAGUAUUGUGUUUUGAUUAGUGAUACGUAGAGUAGGUGGGAGACUUUGAAGUGAUGGCUUAGGUUGUCAUGGAGUCGCAAUGUGAAACACCACUUUUUAUUGAUUAGGAUUCUAACAAUGAUUCCUCUGAAGCGAGGCAUUGGACAGUGCUUGCGGGUCAGUUUGACUGGGGCGGUUUCCUCCCAAAGAGUAACGGAGGAGCACUAAGGUACCUUCAGCAUGGUUAGUAACCAUGCGUCGAGCGUAUGCGUAGAAGGGUGCUUGACUGUGAGACCUACAAGUCGAGCAGGUACGAAAGUAGGUGCAAAUGAUCCGGUGGUAGAAUGUGGAAUUGCCAUCGCUCAACGGACAAAAGGUACGCCAGGGAUAACAGGCUGAUCGCGCCCAAGAGUUCAUAUCGACGGCGCGGUUUGGCACCUCGAUGUCGGCUCGUCACAUCCUGGGGCUGGAGAAGGUCCCAAGGGUUCGGCUGUUCGCCGAUUAAAGUGGCACGCGAGCUGGGUUCAGAACGUCGUGAGACAGUUCGGUCCUUAUCCACUGUGGGCGCAGGAAACUUGAGGGGUUCAAUCCCCAGUACGAGAGGACCGGGAUUGACGUACCUAUGGUGUGGCAGUUGUUCCAUCAGGGGCAGCGCUGCGUAGCCAAGUACGGAAGAGAUAAGCGCUGAAAGCAUCUAAGUGCCAAGCUCAUUCCAAGAUGAAGUUUCCCACUCCUCGUGAGUGUAAGACCCCCGGAAGACUACCGGGUUGAUAGGCCAGGAGUGUAAGUGUGGCAACACAUUCAGCUGACUGGUACUAAUCGGUCGAGGGCUUGAUUAC
RNAcentral lists this ribosomal RNA (1105 nucleotides) under Verrucomicrobiota bacterium. RNAcentral describes it as "partial 23S ribosomal RNA". It matches the Rfam family "Bacterial large subunit ribosomal RNA", at positions 1829 to 2925 of the family's 2925-position model. Lineage: Bacteria; Pseudomonadati; Verrucomicrobiota. The record is from RNAcentral.